GAUGAACGCUAGCUACAGGCUUAACACAUGCAAGUCGCGGGGCAGCAUGGGGGUUGCUUGCCAUCCCCGAUGGCGACCGGCGCACGGGUGAGUAACGCGUAUCCAACCUGCCCUUCACCACGGGAUAACCCGGCGAAAGUCGGACUAAUACCGUAUGUUGUCCAUUGACGGCCUCCGAUUUGGACGAAAGGUUUGGCGGUGAAGGAUGGGGUUGCGUCCGAUUAGCUGGACGGCGGGGUGACGGCCCACCGUGGCGACGAUCGGUAGGGGUUCUGAGAGGAAGGUCCCCCACACUGGAACUGAGACACGGUCCAGACUCCUACGGGAGGCAGCAGUGAGGAAUAUUGGUCAAUGGGCGUAAGCCUGAACCAGCCAAGUAGCGUGCAGGAUGACGGCCCUAUGGGUUGUAAACUGCUUUUAUGCGGGGAUAAAGUGGCCCACGUGUGGGUUUUUGCAGGUACCGCAUGAAUAAGGACCGGCUAAUUCCGUG
Molecule: ribosomal RNA, 490 nt
Filed under: uncultured bacterium
Lineage: Bacteria
Description: partial 16S ribosomal RNA
Rfam family: Bacterial small subunit ribosomal RNA
Source: RNAcentral